Molecule: ribosomal RNA, 778 nt
Filed under: uncultured Neocallimastigales
Lineage: Eukaryota; Fungi; Neocallimastigomycota; Neocallimastigomycetes; Neocallimastigales
Description: partial large subunit ribosomal RNA
Rfam family: Eukaryotic large subunit ribosomal RNA
Source: RNAcentral
CAUCACUACGCUAGAUGCAUAUCAAUAAGCGGAGGAAAAGAAACUAACAAGGAUUCCCUUAGUAACGGCGAGUGAAGCGGGAAGAGCUCAAAUUUGAAAUCUUCAAGGUUUUACCUUGGCGAAUUGUAGUUUAAAGAAGUGUUUUCUGUUGGAGUUUUGGUAAAAGUUCUUUGGAAUAGGACAUCAUAGAGGGUGAGAAUCCCGUAUUUGACCAUUACUUUCCAGCUGUGUGAUACACUUUCAAAGAGUCGGAUUGUUUGGGAAUGCAGUCCAAAAUGGGUGGUAAAUUUCAUCUAAAGCUAAAUAUUGGCGAGAGACCGAUAGCGAACAAGUACCGUGAGGGAAAGAUGAAAAGAACUUUGAAAAGAGAGUUAAACAGUACGUGAAAUUGUCAAAAGGGAAGCGUUUGACACCAGUGUUGUUUAGUUGAAAAUCAAUUCAUGAAUGUUUGAUUUUAAGUAGUAUUGACUUCAUCAGCUUGCUGCUUUCUUUUCAGGAAUUAUUGAAUGCACUUUUCAGUUAACAAGUCAACAUCAAUUUCUUUUGUUGUAAAAGGGUAAGAGGAAGGUGGCUUACGUUUCGGCGUAAGUGUUUAUAGCCUUUUACCUCUGCAAUCGGAGAGAUUGAGGACUAGCAGCGUAGACUCCUUCUGGGGUUAGAUACACUUGUGCUAAGCUAUAGCCUUGUAUAGACAACUUGUUGACUAUGCUCAGUCAUGUAGCUUACUCGCUUGUGCUAUUUUACCUACGCUUAGGAUGUUGAUAGUCACAGCGUGUAC